This is a long non-coding RNA of Oryzias melastigma (Indian medaka), 339 nucleotides long. RefSeq lists it as uncharacterized. The record is from RefSeq and is a predicted model, not a curated record. The transcript is spliced from 4 exons. Lineage: Eukaryota; Metazoa; Chordata; Actinopteri; Beloniformes; Adrianichthyidae.
GGGAGCCCCUCCCUCUAAAAGCACUCUGUGUGGGGAAGAUGAGAGCCAGAGCAAAGCUCAGAGGAACCAACCUGGAUUUGGAUCUGGAUCUGGAUCCAGCUGUGUGUCAUUCAGGAGUGACAAAUCAAAGGGUAUACCUCCUAACUUCAAAGACAUGGAUUCAGGAGUAGAACAGAUCCAACAGAGAUCUGGAUCUGGAUCCAGCUGUGUGUCCAACAAGAGUGACGGAUCAAAGGAUUUUCUUCCUCCUGACUUCAAGUCCAUCAGUUCAGCAGUGGAACAAGUGGACCAGCAGAGCUCAGAGACUCCCAGUGGUCCGUCUGUCCAGCAGCAUCAAAC